AAGACUAUACUUCACAGGAUCAUUUCUGUAGUCAGUCUUCAUUUAUUUUCAUUGCAAAAUGAAAAACACUAAAACUGCGAUGAAGAGGUAUAUCGUUUUAUCUGUAGCGUGAGGUUUUGAACUUUGUCUUUUUUUAGUUCUUUACACUUUGGUGUUUAGGCUUUGGGACAAUGUUUCUUCGAUGAUCGCUUGGUUUACACGGAUAAAACGACUUCUGAGUGGC
Calliphora vicina (urban bluebottle blowfly) is the source of this 223-nucleotide small nucleolar RNA. RefSeq annotates it as small nucleolar RNA U3. NCBI's taxonomy places the organism in Eukaryota, Metazoa, Arthropoda, Insecta, Diptera, Calliphoridae. The record is from RefSeq and is a predicted model, not a curated record. The transcript has a single exon.